CUCCUAAUGCAGCCACCGUAAGGUGAUGGUCACAAGCCCAUGAAAUGCAGAGUGGGAG
Molecule: non-coding RNA, 58 nt
Submitted as: unclassified sequences
Source: Rfam